CCGGCGACCGGCGCACGGGUGAGUAACACGUAUGCAACCUGCCCUCCGCAGGGGGAUAACCCGGAGAAAUCCGGACUAAUACCGCGUGGUACAUCUGUGGGGCAUCCCACGGGUGUUAAAAGGAAGCGAUUCCGGCGGAGGAUGGGCAUGCGGCGCAUUAGCUAGGUGGCGGGGUAACGGCCCACCAAGGCGACGAUGCGUAGGGGUUCUGAGAGGAAGGUCCCCCACACUGGUACUGAGACACGGACCAGACUCCUACGGAAGGCAGCAG
Molecule: ribosomal RNA, 271 nt
Filed under: uncultured bacterium
Lineage: Bacteria
Description: partial 16S ribosomal RNA
Rfam family: Bacterial small subunit ribosomal RNA
Source: RNAcentral